This 253-nucleotide ribosomal RNA is filed under the name uncultured bacterium. RNAcentral's name for it is "partial 16S ribosomal RNA". It matches the Rfam family "Bacterial small subunit ribosomal RNA", at positions 524 to 776 of the family's 1533-position model. The record is from RNAcentral.
UACGGAGGGUGCAAGCGUUGUCCGGAUUUAUUGGGUUUAAAGGGUACGUAGGCGGUUAUUUAAGUCUGUGGUGAAAGUCUGUAGCUCAACUAUAGAAUUGCCAUGGAUACUGGAUGACUUGAGUGUCGUAAAGGUAGGCGGAAUUGAUGAUGUAGCGGUGAAAUGCAUAGAUAUCAUCAAGAACACCAAUAGUGAAGACAGCUUACUUGACGAUAACUGACGCUGAGGUACGAAAGCGUGGGUAGCGAACAGG